RNAcentral lists this long non-coding RNA (1837 nucleotides) under Oryza sativa Indica Group (long-grained rice). RNAcentral describes it as "lncRNA OsZS97_10G006760". Lineage: Eukaryota; Viridiplantae; Streptophyta; Magnoliopsida; Poales; Poaceae. The record is from RNAcentral.
AUGGAGAGGAGGCCACCGAAUCCUCGCCCUGAUCAGUGGCAAUCAAACAAGAGGAGGGCUGUGGAUGAGGAGCAGAGGGAUUGGGGGGAUCGGGCACCAUGGGAGCGGGAGGAGGAGGAGCUCCGUGGGCGCCUGCUUGGACAGAAUCAGCGAAGACCCGAAGGAAGAUGGCGGCCGGAUGAGCGCAGAGAGGGGGGUCGCAACUGGCAAGGUGAAAAGGGGAGAGUCUGGCAAGGUGAACAAAGGGAAGGGCUGGAUGUGAGGAGAUUCGACAAGGGGAGGAAAGAACAAGUCCAGGAGGGGCCCCGGGAGGACACCAUCAAGUGCUACAACUAUGGUGAAUUCGGCCAUCAUCUAGUGAGGUGCACAAAACCAUCUCUCUGCUAUGUCUGUAAGAGCUCUGGCCACAUUUCAUCUCAUUGUCCUACCAUGAUGAGGUCUUGUAAGAGAGUCGAGAUUAAGUUUAAGGGAUAUGGAGUUAAUGAGCAAGGUUUUUACAGCAUGAAAAUAGAUGUUCCAGCAGGGGAAGGGUCUAAAACUGCUUGCAGGGGAAUUUUGUCUGUUAUUAGAGGCAAGGGCUCGGUUCCUAAAGUGAUGGUUGAAUUAUCUUCUCUGUUUAAGGGCCUCAAAUGGGAUUGGAAGGUGAGACAAAUUAAUGAUAAUGACUUUCUAGUGGAUUUCCCUAAUCCUGAAGCUAGGAGCAAGCUGACCCUGGUUAAGAGCUUUGAUUUUGAUAAGUUUCCUAUCAAGGCUAGUGUAACUGAAUCAAAGAUGACUGUGGAUGAACUGUAUGUGGUUUGGGUAAGAAUGUAUGGGAUGCCUGAUUUUGCCAGAUCUGAAGCUUCAAUCAAAGCUGUCGCUGAAUUGGUGGGGGAAUUAGAAGAGGUGGAUGGGACUUCUGUGGCUAAGGGGGAAUUUGUGAGAAUGAAGAUUGAGUUGAUAUACAUUAAUGGAGUUGGCUACAAAUUAAGAUGGGAAGUGGAAAAAGAUUCACUAAAAGGAACUGAUCUUCUUCCUCCUGAUGGGAAUGAUGAUGAUGAGGAAGAUGACAGAGAUGAAGACAAGAAGGAUCAGGACAAGAAGGAAGAGGGGGAUAAAGGGGAUCUGAUGGAUAUUGAUCUUCAGAAGAAAUAUGCCAUAAGGGGAUAUGAAGAGGAGGAAGAUGGAAAAUGUGCUAUACCAACUGAUUCUGAUAUAGAAAAAAUGAGGGAGGAAGAAAAUGAAGGGGAUGAUGAAGAGCAUGAGCAGGGGGCAUGUGAAGAUGUGAUGGGUCAGAUUAUAGAAGAAGAGGCUUUUCUAAAGGUAGAAAGGAAGAACAAGAAGAAGGGAGUGAUACUUGCCAAGAGACAAGGCUUAAGGGUGAGGGACAAGAAUGUACCUGUGCAAUUCAAGGCUGAGAUCAGAAAGUCCAAGGUCAAUCUGAAUCCAGGUACAUCCAAUCCUUAUGCCAUUUUUAAUUCUGUUGAUAGGAAUAUUUUAAAAGAAAUUGCUAGUGCUAGUUGUAUUACUCUUGGGGAUAGUGAGGAGGAGAUUAAUGUGAAUCUGGAGGCUAUCUGUGCUAUAGAAGUAGCUCAGGCUGCCCUAUUUGAGGCUGAACAGAACUUGAUAAGUAUGGCAGCUGUGGAUGACUCAACUGGUAGGGAGGAAAUAGAGGGGGCUAUAACUGAUGAGACAACCCAUCAGGAGGGGGUUGCAAGUGAUGGGUUGACUGUGGUUGAUGAGGAACCAAUUGGUGAGGGUUUAGUGAAAUUAAAGCCAGGGAAAGGUAGCCGGAAAGGCUCUGUGCUGAAAAAGAAAGGGGGUGGGGGAAGAAGGAAAAAGUCCUGAUGAAAGUUUU